RNAcentral lists this ribosomal RNA (422 nucleotides) under uncultured bacterium. RNAcentral's name for it is "partial 16S ribosomal RNA". It matches the Rfam family "Bacterial small subunit ribosomal RNA", at positions 360 to 774 of the family's 1533-position model. The record is from RNAcentral.
AAUCUUCCGCAAUGGACGAAAGUCUGACGGAGCAACGCCGCGCGAGUGAUGAAGGUUUCCGGAUCGUAAAACUCUGUUGUUAGGGAAGAACAAGUAUCGGAGUCACUGCCGGUACCUUGACCGUACCUGACGAGAAAGCCACGGCUAACUACGUUCCAGCAGCCGCGGUAAUACGUAGGUGGCAAGCGUUGUCCGGAUUUAUUGGGGGUAAAGCGCGGGCAGGCGGUCGUUUAAGUCUGAUGUGAAAUCUUACAAGUUAACUGUAAGGGGUAAGUGGAAACUGGGAGACUUGAGUGCAGAAGAGGAGAGUGGAAUUCCAUGUGUAGCGGUGAAAUGCGUAGAGAUAUGGAGGAACACCAGUGGCGAAGGCGACUCUCUGGUCUGCAACUGACGCUGAGGCGCGAAAGCGUGGGGAUCAAACA